This 477-nucleotide ribosomal RNA is filed under the name uncultured bacterium. RNAcentral describes it as "bacterial SSU rRNA". It matches the Rfam family "Bacterial small subunit ribosomal RNA", at positions 29 to 535 of the family's 1533-position model. The record is from RNAcentral.
AACGAACGCUGGCGGCAGGCCUAACACAUGCAAGUCGAACGCUCUCUUCGGAGAGAGUGGCAGACGGGUGAGUAACGCGUGGGAAUCUACCAGGUGGCGCGGGACAACGCAGAGAAAUUUGUCGCUAAUACCGCAUAAGCCCUCCUUUAGAGAUACUGGAGGGGAAAGAUUUAUCGCCAUUUGAUGAGCCCGCGUUUGAUUAGCUUGUUGGUGAGGUAAUGGCUCACCAAGGCAACGAUCAAUAGCUGGUCUGAGAGGAUGAUCAGCCACACUGGGACUGAGACACGGCCCAGACUCCUACGGGAGGCAGCAGUGGGGAAUAUUGGACAAUGGGCGCAAGCCUGAUCCAGCCAUGCCGCGUGAGUGAUGAAGGCCCUAGGGUUGUAAAGCUCUUUUCAACGGUGAAGAUAAUGACGGUAACCGUAGAAGAAGCCCCGGCUAACUUCGUGCCAGCAGCCGCGGUAAAAGUAACUCUAU